Molecule: ribosomal RNA, 501 nt
Filed under: Proteus mirabilis
Lineage: Bacteria; Pseudomonadati; Pseudomonadota; Gammaproteobacteria; Enterobacterales; Morganellaceae
Description: bacterial SSU rRNA
Rfam family: Bacterial small subunit ribosomal RNA
Source: RNAcentral
AAACUCAAAUGAAUUGACGGGGGCCCGCACAAGCGGUGGAGCAUGUGGUUUAAUUCGAUGCAACGCGAAGAACCUUACCUACUCUUGACAUCCAGCGAAUCCUUUAGAGAUAGAGGAGUGCCUUCGGGAACGCUGAGACAGGUGCUGCAUGGCUGUCGUCAGCUCGUGUUGUGAAAUGUUGGGUUAAGUCCCGCAACGAGCGCAACCCUUAUCCUUUGUUGCCAGCACGUAAUGGUGGGAACUCAAAGGAGACUGCCGGUGAUAAACCGGAGGAAGGUGGGGAUGACGUCAAGUCAUCAUGGCCCUUACGAGUAGGGCUACACACGUGCUACAAUGGCAGAUACAAAGAGAAGCGACCUCGCGAGAGCAAGCGGAACUCAUAAAGUCUGUCGUAGUCCGGAUUGGAGUCUGCAACUCGACUCCAUGAAGUCGGAAUCGCUAGUAAUCGUAGAUCAGAAUGCUACGGUGAAUACGUUCCCGGGCCUUGUACACACCGCCCGU